This 401-nucleotide transfer-messenger RNA is filed under the name Candidatus Nomurabacteria bacterium RIFCSPLOWO2_12_FULL_46_14. It matches the Rfam family "transfer-messenger RNA". Rfam says of the family: Bacterial tmRNA, also known as 10Sa RNA or SsrA, is named for its dual tRNA and mRNA-like properties. Its role is to liberate the mRNA from a stalled ribosome. RNAcentral also lists the same sequence under 1 other name. Lineage: Bacteria; Candidatus Nomuraibacteriota. The record is from RNAcentral.
GGGGAUGCAAGGCAUAGACAGAGGGCAAAAGGCCGAAGAUGCAUGCCGAGAAUGAACGCAAACUCGCUAAAAUUCGUUCAAAGUCUAAUUGCAAAAUUAGCUUCCAAGGUGAAAGCGUCCGUCUCUCCAUACUUCGGUAUGAAUGACUUUGCUUUCGCUCAAGUUUCCGCUUCGGCGUAAGCUUGUGUCUCUCCCGCGGACUUCCGAUACGUGGGCGGGGGCAUAAAAUUAUCGGGAUAAGGAAAUGUUCGCUCGCGCAUUUUUCGAAAAUAAAGAGCUCGGUUGAAAAAUAUUUCGCCCGCUUAAGAAUUUUUCAACUUAAAAAACAAAGGCGCGCUAUGUAUGUAGAUUUCUUAGCUGAUUCCUUCUGCACGGGGGCUCAAUUCCCCCCAUCUCCACAA